Molecule: ribosomal RNA, 449 nt
Filed under: uncultured bacterium
Lineage: Bacteria
Description: partial 16S ribosomal RNA
Rfam family: Bacterial small subunit ribosomal RNA
Source: RNAcentral
AAUGAACGCUGGCGGCAGGCCUAACACAUGCAAGUCGAACGGAUCCUUCGGGAUUAGUGGCGGACGGGUGAGUAACGCGUGGGAACAUACCCCAAGGUACGGAAUAGCCUCGGGAAACUGGGAGUAAUACCGUAUGUGCUAGAAAGAGGAAAGAUUUAUCGCCUUUGGAUUGGCCCGCGUUGGAUUAGGUGGUUGGUGGGGUAAUGGCCUACCAAGCCGACGAUCCAGAGCUGGGUUGAGAGGAUGAUCAGCCACAAUGGGACUGAGACACGGCCCAGACUCCUACGGGAGGCAGCAGUGGGGAAUCUUAGACAAUGGGGGAAACCCUGAUCUAGCCAUGCCGCGUGAUCGAUGAAGGCCUUAGGGUUGUAAAGAUCUUUCAGGUGGGAAGAUAAUGACUGUACCACCAGAAGAAGCCCCGGCUAACUCCGUGCCAGCCGCCGCAGUAA